GACGAACGCUGGCGGCGUGCUUAACACAUGCAAGUCGAACGGCAAGGCCCUGCUUUCGUGGGGUGCUCGAGUGGCGAACGGGUGAGUAACACGUGAGUAACCUGCCCUACUCUUUGGGAUAACUUCAGGAAACUGGGGCUAAUCCCGGAUCGCAUCUCAUGCCGCAUGGUGGGGGUUGGAAAGUUUCGGCGGUUGGGGUUGGACUCGCGGCUUAUCAGUUUGUUGGUGGGGGAGUGGCUUACCAAGGAUGUGACGGGUACGCGGCCUGAGUGGGUGACCGGCCACACUGGGACUGAGAGACGGCCCAGACUCCUCCGGGAGGCAGCAGUGGGGAAUAUUGCACAAUGGGCGGAAGCCUGAUGCAGCAACGCCGCGUGCGGGAUGACGGCCUUCGGGGUGUAAACCGCUUUCGCCUGUGACGAAGCGUGAGUGACGGUAAUGGGAAAAGAAGCACCGGCUAACUACGUG
This 468-nucleotide ribosomal RNA is filed under the name uncultured bacterium. Its description in RNAcentral is "partial 16S ribosomal RNA". It matches the Rfam family "Bacterial small subunit ribosomal RNA", at positions 28 to 507 of the family's 1533-position model. The record is from RNAcentral.